AGCUCCGAGGUGUUUUACACGUCAGAUUGCAAAUCUGGAGAAGUAGACUGACAGUCUACCGGGGCUU
Molecule: transfer RNA, 67 nt
Filed under: Chaetodon nippon (Japanese butterflyfish)
Lineage: Eukaryota; Metazoa; Chordata; Actinopteri; Chaetodontiformes; Chaetodontidae
Description: tRNA-Cys
Source: RNAcentral